RNAcentral lists this ribosomal RNA (429 nucleotides) under uncultured bacterium. RNAcentral describes it as "bacterial SSU rRNA". It matches the Rfam family "Bacterial small subunit ribosomal RNA", at positions 355 to 776 of the family's 1533-position model. The record is from RNAcentral.
UGGGGAAUAUUGCGCAAUGGGCGAAAGCCUGACGCAGCGACGCCGCGUGAGGGAUGAAGGUCUUCGGAUCGUAAACCUCUGUCAGCAGGGAAGAACGGUCACUGUGCUAAUCAGCAGUGAAUUGACGGUACCUGCAAAGGAAGCACCGGCUAACUCCGUGCCAGCAGCCGCGGUAAUACGGAGGGUGCGAGCGUUAAUCGGAAUUACUGGGCGUAAAGCGCUCGUAGGCGGUAUGUCAAGUCAAGGGUGAAAUCCCCGCGCUCAACGUGGGAACUGCCUUUGAAACUGGCAAACUGGAGUGUGUGAGAGGAUAGUGGAAUUCCAGGUGUAGGAGUGAAAUCCGUAGAUAUCUGGAGGAACACCAGUGGCGAAGGCGACUAUCUGGCACAUAACUGACGCUGAGGAGCGAAAGCGUGGGUAGCAAACAGG